AGUCAUAUGCUUGUCUCAAAGAUUAAGCCAUGCAUGUCUCAGAAUAUGCUCCUUUGAACUAAUCUGCAAAUGGCUCAUUAAAACAGCUUUGAUCUUGUGAUUUGUCUUUAUCUGGAUAUCUUUGGUAAUUCUAAAGCUAAUACGUGCAGUAAAUCCCUACUUUUUGGACGGGGUUCGCUUGUUGGCUUCGGAACUAAAUCUUGACUUUGUCAUGCAUUUUGGUGAAUAAAAUCAAAGACAUGAUUCAAUCCUUUGGAUAUAUUUUUUGAAUUUCUGACCUAUCAGCUGUGGACAGUAAGAUAUUUGCUUCCUGUGGCUAUGACGGGUGACGGGGAAUUAG
Molecule: ribosomal RNA, 340 nt
Filed under: uncultured eukaryote
Lineage: Eukaryota
Description: bacterial SSU rRNA
Rfam family: Eukaryotic small subunit ribosomal RNA
Source: RNAcentral